GCCCAUGUAGCUCAGUUGGUAGAGCACAUCCUUGGUAAGGAUGAGGUCACCAGUUCGACUCUGGUCAUGGGCUCCA
This 76-nucleotide transfer RNA is filed under the name Gammaproteobacteria bacterium. Its description in RNAcentral is "tRNA-Thr". It matches the Rfam family "tRNA". From Rfam's summary of the family: Transfer RNA (tRNA) molecules are approximately 80 nucleotides in length. Their secondary structure includes four short double-helical elements and three loops (D, anti-codon, and T loops). Lineage: Bacteria; Pseudomonadati; Pseudomonadota; Gammaproteobacteria. The record is from RNAcentral.